GAUGAACGCUAGCGGCGGGCUUAACACAUGCAAGUCGAACGGUAACGGUUCCUUCGGGAAGCCGACGAGUGGCGAACGGGUGCGUAACGCGUAUGCAACCUACCUUCAACUGGGGCAUAGCCCGAAGAAAUUCGGAUUAAUACCCCAUAACCUAUCGAAUGGCAUCAGGCAGAUAGCAAAGUUUCGGCGGUUGGAGAUGGGCAUGCGUCAGAUUAGCUAGUUGGUGGGGUAACGGCUUACCAAGGCGAUGAUCUGUAGGGGGCUCGAGAGGGUGAUCCCCCACACUGGUACUGAGACACGGACCAGACUCCUACGGGAGGCAGCAGUGAGGAAUAUUGGACAAUGGAGGCAACUCUGAUCCAGCUACGCCGCGUGCAGGAAUAAGGCCUUAUGGGUUGUAAACUGCUUUUUUACGGGAAUUAAACCGCCCCACGAGCUGGGGCGCUGAAUGUACCGUACGAAUAAGUACCGGCU
RNAcentral lists this ribosomal RNA (474 nucleotides) under uncultured bacterium. RNAcentral describes it as "bacterial SSU rRNA". It matches the Rfam family "Bacterial small subunit ribosomal RNA", at positions 28 to 498 of the family's 1533-position model. The record is from RNAcentral.